UUUUAAUUAGGAUUUUAUUGUAGAUAAAGGAAGUAAAUUUCCUCUGUUGACAAAAAAUGGUUGAGGAGUCUGAAAGUUUGACUGAAGAUUAAGGAUAUCAAAUGAAGAUUAUAAUUGAAAAAAGAGCACUUUGAAGUACUAGGAGAAUUUGAAAACAUCUUGGUGAAAUAGUCUGACUGAUUAUGACAGAACAUCAAAAGAAAUGACGAAAAAUUACACAUCUUAUCAAAAUAGUACUACUAGAAACUAAAAGCUACUUGCAAUUUUCACUGGUUUUGAGAUCAGUAACAGUCUGACAAGGAAAGAAUUUAAUGAACAUGAUUAUGAUGCCUCUUGAUAAAUAUAAAAACAUAUUGACUGUAAAAUAAUUACCAGUUACCAAUUAUAUCUGUUGUUUACAAAAUUUGUUAUUUGGAAAUAUCUGUUGAAUGUUUUGAAAUUAAAAUGUGUUAACUUAAAUGA
Molecule: long non-coding RNA, 462 nt
Organism: Mytilus trossulus (common blue mussel)
Lineage: Eukaryota; Metazoa; Mollusca; Bivalvia; Mytilida; Mytilidae
Exons: 2
Source: RefSeq, a predicted model, not a curated record